UGGGCCCAAGGAAUAUGACGAAAAGGGCAUGUAUUUUGUUUUGUUAAGGUUUAAGGUGAGUUUGUUCGCUUGAAACCAGUUCUGUAUAUGUCUGAAAUCCUUCUCUGCUUUAUGUUUCAUAUCGUCCCAUGUAUUAGCUCUGUAGUGUAUGGCGGUAUCAUCUGCGAAGCCAAUUAAACUGCCUUCACUUGUACAUCGGGACAAGCUAUUAAUGUACACUAAAAACAGAAGUGGACCAAUGACCGUGCCCUGAGGAACGCCGUCUAGAUUUUCCGGAUUUUUUUUAAAUUCCUUGUACAUAUUAUUUUUUUCAUUUAUUGAUUUUAAUAAGGAUGGUGUUAUCCAGGACUUACGUUUGAUAUUUUUGUUUUGGAUUUUUACAUGAAUGGUAUUUUUUUUUAUACAGUUUGUGAGAACGUUAAUAAAUGUUUCAGCAACUGAA
Coccinella septempunctata (seven-spotted ladybird) is the source of this 442-nucleotide long non-coding RNA. RefSeq lists it as uncharacterized. NCBI's taxonomy places the organism in Eukaryota, Metazoa, Arthropoda, Insecta, Coleoptera, Coccinellidae. The record is from RefSeq and is a predicted model, not a curated record. The transcript is spliced from 2 exons.